Daphnia pulicaria is the source of this 982-nucleotide long non-coding RNA. RefSeq lists it as uncharacterized. The record is from RefSeq and is a predicted model, not a curated record. The transcript is spliced from 4 exons. NCBI's taxonomy places the organism in Eukaryota, Metazoa, Arthropoda, Branchiopoda, Diplostraca, Daphniidae.
CACAAAAUUCAUAGGAAUCGGGAUCUUCUAAAUAUACUACCAUACGGCGAAAUGGCUUACCUCAGAAAAUUCCUGAUUGUUUUUCCAUCAUCUACCCGUCCAUUCCAGUCGUAUUCAAGAGCUGCCAUAUGGACUGUGCCAAUUCUGAAGUCAGAAAGAGGGGGCAUUGGCCUCUCAAUAGACAGAGACAUUGUCAGCAUCUAGCAUGCGGAUGGCGAUACAUAAGCAAAGUAUUCGUAGGGACGAAAGAACUGCACUGUACCUGUUUGCCAUAACAACAACAAUUCAUUUGUUGUCGGGGUUGUGUUGGAGGGAGUGUUCAUCCAGGGUUGGACAGAAGCAAGUCCCAUCCAUCAAAAGAUCUCCUUAAAAGAAAGAAAGUUUCAACUCUGAUGUUAAAGAAAAUCCAACAGCAUCAGAAUGAUGGAAGGGAAGACUGAACGGAAUGGAAUGAUGGAUGAGAAAACCUUGUCUAUCCUGGACCGAAAGUGUACAGUAUUUUGCAGGUGCUGCCUUAGAGUCGAGUGUAUUCGUUCAUCACGUAUUCUCGUCACGGCGACGGAUAUGACCAGUGCAUUAACUGCUGAUGCUGUACAGGACUGUUGCAUCAUUAUCAGCAGGAGCAGUGCCGACGAGGCGAAGUCAAAGUCGGCAAACGUCCUGAGUGACAACCAAAUCCGGUCGACAACAACACAAGCACAUUUAUCUUCUAUUUUUCUCUGCUUAGUGAAGAUGGGCUAGUAAAUGUUGCCCGCCAUGAAGAAGAAGAAUUAGUGGACGGAAUAAAUGAACUAGGGCUAUCCCUGAUGGAAGCCUCCUGAUAACGUGCUCGUGAUAACUACAAGCUACAUGUAAUUCAUUCAAAUCCAAUCACUAAAACGCUUAUUCAGAGUCAGACAUUGAGCUAGUCCAAGGAAGAAAGACGAGAAAAGAUGAAAACAAGUUUGACAACUCGCAACAGAUGGUGGACGAGAAAUAAUAA